RNAcentral lists this ribosomal RNA (1372 nucleotides) under uncultured bacterium. RNAcentral describes it as "bacterial SSU rRNA". It matches the Rfam family "Bacterial small subunit ribosomal RNA", at positions 28 to 1381 of the family's 1533-position model. The record is from RNAcentral.
GAUGAACGCUGGCGGCGUGCCUAAUACAUGCAAGUCGAGCGAACGGACGAGAAGCUUGCUUCUCUGAUGUUAGCGGCGGACGGGUGAGUAACACGUGGAUAACCUACCUAUAAGACUGGGAUAACUUCGGGAAACCGGAGCUAAUACCGGAUAAUAUUUUGAACCGCAUGGUUCAAAAGUGAAAGACGGUCUUGCUGUCACUUAUAGAUGGAUCCGCGCUGCAUUAGCUAGUUGGUAAGGUAACGGCUUACCAAGGCAACGAUGCAUAGCCGACCUGAGAGGGUGAUCGGCCACACUGGAACUGAGACACGGUCCAGACUCCUACGGGAGGCAGCAGUAGGGAAUCUUCCGCAAUGGGCGAAAGCCUGACGGAGCAACGCCGCGUGAGUGAUGAAGGUCUUCGGAUCGUAAAACUCUGUUAUUAGGGAAGAACAUAUGUGUAAGUAACUGUGCACAUCUUGACGGUACCUAAUCAGAAAGCCACGGCUAACUACGUGCCAGCAGCCGCGGUAAUACGUAGGUGGCAAGCGUUAUCCGGAAUUAUUGGGCGUAAAGCGCGCGUAGGCGGUUUUUUAAGUCUGAUGUGAAAGCCCACGGCUCAACCGUGGAGGGUCAUUGGAAACUGGAAAACUUGAGUGCAGAAGAGGAAAGUGGAAUUCCAUGUGUAGCGGUGAAAUGCGCGGAGAUAUGGAGGAACACCAGUGGCGAAGGCGACUUUCUGGUCUGUAACUGACGCUGAUGUGCGAAAGCGUGGGGAUCAAACAGGAUUAGAUACCCUGGUAGUCCACGCCGUAAACGAUGAGUGCUAAGUGUUAGGGGGUUUCCGCCCCUUAGUGCUGCAGUUAACGCAUUAAGCACUCCGCCUGGGGAGUACGACCGCAAGGUUGAAACUCAAAGGAAUUGACGGGGACCCGCACAAGCGGUGGAGCAUGUGGUUUAAUUCGAAGCAACGCGAAGAACCUUACCAAAUCUUGACAUCCUUUGACAACUCUAGAGAUAGAGCCUUCCCCUUCGGGGGACAAAGUGACAGGUGGUGCAUGGUUGUCGUCAGCUCGUGUCGUGAGAUGUUGGGUUAAGUCCCGCAACGAGCGCAACCCUUAAGCUUAGUUGCCAUCAUUAAGUUGGGCACUCUAAGUUGACUGCCGGUGACAAACCGGAGGAAGGUGGGGAUGACGUCAAACCAUCAUGCCCCUUAUGAUUUGGGCUACACACGUGCUACAAUGGACAAUACAAAGGGCAGCGAAACCGCGAGGUCAAGCAAAUCCCAUAAAGUUGUUCUCAGUUCGGAUUGUAGUCUGCAACUCGACUACAUGAAGCUGGAAUCGCUAGUAAUCGUAGAUCAGCAUGCUACGGUGAAUACGUUCCCGGGUCU